UAUAUUUCAUACAGACAUGACGAGACAGUUCUCGAGGAAACCACUCAUCCGCGAUGGAUGCUCGAUUCUUUUAUUUCGGCUCGGGUGCUUUUAUCUUGUGUGUUUUUGAAAGUGUGUUGCCGACUUAGACUAUGUCUCUUGAAACAUAUAUCUGUCUCAUGGUUUGGACGACUCGUCCGUUCGUCCUGACUCAUGUCCGAGCGACGUACGGACUUUGCCAUUUUUGCGGGCAUUGAAUCGUCUGCAUCAUCUUUUUGUUUUUAUGUACCUUGAACGUGAUCUGACUUCCGUUUAUAAUUUCGAGAGGCGGGUGCCUAUUAAUAUAAGAAGAAGAAAGACGUGACGAGAGACAAUAAAAAGACUUCAGAUUGAUACAAAGUAUAUCGAUACUAAUACUGUAUGGGCUCUAUAACGCACGAUGAUGAAGCGUAGUUUCGAAAGGACAUUCAAGGCAUGGACUAUUGGCUAUGACGAUCGAUGUUUGUAUUACUAUAUUGGUAUCAUUCGUUCUGAAUUGACGAGGAAACGAUGGAAAUUAAUAAACGCACCGCUACAAUUAAGUAGAGCAAGUAGUGCUAGUUUGUCAUCUAGCAACAAACACAGUACCUGGCACCGCAAUAGCAACAUCAUCAGAAUUGGAGUUUCUUGAAUCAUCCUCACAAUACUGAAGAUACAAUGUUAAUUAGAGAAUAGGAAAAACAAUCAUGUUUGGCGCCCACGAAUCUUUAAAAUUAUGAUAACAAUAUCGAUGACGGCGUUUCCGCAAAGAAUAUUCAACAAACAUCUUUUCAAGAUCACAAUGGAGAGAAAAAGAGUAGGUUAUGACCCAGGAAUAAAUCCUGCAAUCUGUAUGAUAUCGAACAGAUGAGUUUAUUGAUAACAAAAAGAUUAGAAUCUUUGAAGCAACGUUUCCUUUCAAGAGUGGUAAGAAGCAAGAGGAAAAUUUACAAAAAAUCCUAAAAAUGUAAUAGUAACUAUUAUUGUUUUGUCAUCUGACAGAGAAUAUGUAUGAAAUAGAAAUUUGUUUGAAAUGGCCAUUUUCUUAAACUCUAAGAAAUCACAUGUUUUGUAAAAUUGUAUUUUAAUUUGAUUUCCCAAAUAUUUAAUGUAAAAAUUAUCACCUACAUUAAUCUACUUUAAUCUGAUUUGAAAAGGUGAGAAAAUUAUUUAUCUUAGAAGCUAAAUAUAUUGGAGAUGGUUUCCGCUCACGAGAAGCAUUAUUAGUCGCCGAAUUAGUAGGAGAAAGAUUAAAGUUGUCACUACUUACAUGCAAAUCGUCAGAAUCAUGUGAAGAAGCAUCAUCAUGCUCUAUAGUGUCGGCUAACACUGAAAUCUGUUUCUUAAUGGUACCUUGGUUACUUCCAAGUGUAAUUUUAAAACUUUAUUAGAUGCGAGUCCAUCGUCAAGGUUAUCUUUCACUAACUUCUUUUGAGGCAGCUUCGUUUUAUUGCCUUCUAAAUUAGAGGGUAAUCCAGAAUGGAAAGUUUGAGAUCCUUCUACUGCAGUCUCCAAAUCGAAGGUUCUGUGAGAUCACCAAUAACUAUUGAAGGUAGCACUAUCACUACAAGCGAACCAGGUACACCAGAAGCAAAAUACAGAGAAUACCUCAACGCGGCGAAGCAUCAAGUCCUUGAGAUUAAACUUAUAUAUAUAUUGGUAUAUUAAAUAUAUUAAUUUAGUAAAGCAGGAUUUAAAAAGAAUGAUGCUGGAGACAUUUGAUUUCAAGAUACCUUUUUAGAAUUUUAUUAUAACUAAUUCUAUUAUUACUUAUUUUAUUAUUGUAAUAAUUGACCAAUAUAAUCGUCACAUCAUUGUGGGGGUAAGUCUUUCUUGACAUAAAAAUGUUUUUAGCUUAAUUAUUAUUUAUAAUUAAUUAGAUUUUCAUUCACUAUCAUCCAGCUUUCAAACUGGGAAUUUUUAUUCUGAAAUGGAGGAAUGUUAUUGCCACACAAUGAUAUCGACUAUUAUUUCAACAUAUAAUGAGUUUUAUAUGAUUCAUGGAUAACUAACGCGUAACAUAUACUGUAAUUUUGCUGAGAAAGUCUAAAAGAUUAGCCGAAAUAUGUACACAAGUAACGAAUAGAAUAUAUAAUUUAAAGAAACAAAAACUGCAUCGCGCGCGCGCGCGCGCGCGUCUAGGCGCUAAUUUCCAAUUGUCUGUUUAUAUGAUUUCCUUUUUGAAAUAUAUUAAUGUAUUAAUAAUAGUAAAUAUAUUUUUUGUACUCAUUGAAUAUCUCCAAUAUUACACAUUUGAUAUUUAUCAUGUAUCAAGGGAUUGAUAAUUUUAUGUAGUAUCACAUAAAUCUACGUCUGUAAAUCAAAUAUUUUAUUACUGAAAUGGUUUUUAUGAUGUAGAUCAUUUUUGCAAUUAUAAAAUACGUGUGCAGACUUGCUGCCGGCUCAGUACUCCCAAAAAAGUAAGAAUAAUGAGUUUUGUAUUCGAAAUAAUGAAAGAAAAAUGAAUUUUUUUAAACACUGAGCAAGCUAGUUUGUUUUAGGCUUGAUUAAAAUUGUAUAGAAUGAUAUCUAAGGAUUAGCACUUUAUUAUUUUGAACAUAUUAUUCUGUGACGGUGAUACCUUCAUUAUUUAAUAUUCCAUUAAAUCUAAAGGUAUUUAUAAAUUUUAAAAACAAUGUCAUUAAGAAUAUACGUUUCAAUAUGUUCGGCAAAGAUGACAAAUUUUUACUAAUAAUAGCAUCUAAAUUCAGGAACUGAAACAAUUUAGAAAUGAAACAAGUGUCUGGAAACAAAGGAAAAA
This 2758-nucleotide long non-coding RNA is filed under the name Acromyrmex echinatior (Panamanian leafcutter ant). RNAcentral's name for it is "uncharacterized LOC105150825, transcript variant X1". Lineage: Eukaryota; Metazoa; Arthropoda; Insecta; Hymenoptera; Formicidae. The record is from RNAcentral.